This 692-nucleotide ribosomal RNA is filed under the name Porosira glacialis. Its description in RNAcentral is "SSU rRNA". It matches the Rfam family "Eukaryotic small subunit ribosomal RNA", at positions 630 to 1325 of the family's 1831-position model. Lineage: Eukaryota; Bacillariophyta; Thalassiosirophyceae; Thalassiosirales; Thalassiosiraceae. The record is from RNAcentral.
GUAGUUGAAAUACUGACAUAGUCGACCGGUCUCACGCAUUGUCGUGAGCACUUGUGUUGUAUUAGGUCAUUCUUGGAUUUUAGCCAGUCUGGCAUUAAGUUGUCGGGUUGGUGAAAACCAUCGUUUACUGUGAAAAAAUUAGAGUGUUCAAAGCAGACUUAUGUCGUUGAAUAGAUUAGCAUGGAAUAAUAAUAUAGGACUUUUGUACUAUUUUGUUGGUUAGGUGUAAAAGUAAUGAUCAAUAGGGACAGUUGGGCGUAUUCGUAUUUCGUUGCUAGAGGUGAAAUUCUUGGAUUUCCGAAAGACGAACUACUGCGAAAGCAUUUACGAAGGAUGUUUUCAUUAAUCAAGAACGAAAGUUAGGGGAUCGAAGAUGAUUAGAUACCAUCGUAGUCUUAACCAUAAACUAUGCCGACUCGGGAUUGGGCGUUGUUUUUUGACUCGUCCAGCACCGUAUGGGAAACCAUUAGUCUUUGGGUUCCGGGGGGAGUAUGGUCGCAAGACUGAAACUUAAAGAAAUUGACGGAAGGGCACCACCAGGAGUGGAGCCUGCGGCUUAAUUUGACUCAACACGGGAAAACUUACCAGGUCCAGACAUAAUGAGGAUUGACAGAUUGAGAGCUCUUUCUUGAUUUUAUGGGUGGUGGUGCAUGGCCGUUCUUAGUUGGUGGAGUGAUUUGUCUGGUUAAUUC